ACAUCAAGUCCAACUGCCAUUGCAGCACCGAACUGCUCCAGUAAAAAUGACAAGCUAGAACUUGAGAAGCCGUUGGCAUUGUAGGUGAUUUCUUAGUAGUUACUAGAAUAUCACAUAAGAACGUCUUGAAAAUUUUAAUUAGAUGAAAUUAACAAUGAUAAUUUAAAAAGGCCAUAAUACAAGUAAAGAUUUAGGAAAGCAGCAAUGGGUGUUAAGAAAUGGACAAAAGAAUGCACAUCAUUCUAAAUCUUAUAAUGAUCAAAUCAGUAACAAAAACUUGAGAUAUUGAUAACUUGAAAUAUUCAGGAUAAGAUUAAAGGAUGUGCAUGUUUCACAUUUAGUUAUGCAAAUCCAGUCAAAUGUGAUUGAAUUAAGGUGAAACAAAUGAUGAUAACCAAAAGUUCAUUUGGUUAUCAAUAUUACAGUUGCAUGGAAGUUUCCAGCAAUUACUUGCACAAAGAGAACAUCACCGUGUGAUACUGAGAAAGCUCAUCCGAUGAGAAUACUCUGUGCCUUUGGCGUGGAAGAGACUAAGUAGAUCUUCUACAUCACUACACAUAAAAUGAUGUCUUCGGCUUUAAAACUUCUUACUUUUAUUUCCUAGUUAAAAGGGUUCAAUAAAUUAAUGGUUGGAAGAAUUUUGUGCAGAACCCAAUUCUUUUCAAAUUUUUGGUAUCAGAUUUCUUUUGAUUUACAUAAGGAGACAGCUUCAUUAACUCAUUGGUUACGCAUAAGCUUGAUAGAAUAUAGGCUGCGCUCGAAGGAAUGAAAAUGUACUAUAGUUUUAAAUCAAAGGUUGAAUUACUAAAAAAGAUCAUUACCUUAAGUGCUGCGAUUGCAAGAAGGCCAGAACCUGUGCCAUAGUCCAAGAAAAGUUCUCCUCCUUUUAUCAAUUCUCGCAGCAGCAAUAGACACAACUUUGUAGUAGGUGCUCCCCGGUUCCAAACGCUAGUCCAGGAUU
This 961-nucleotide long non-coding RNA is filed under the name Ricinus communis (castor bean). RNAcentral describes it as "long non-coding RNA (RCOM_LNC003724)". The record is from RNAcentral. Lineage: Eukaryota; Viridiplantae; Streptophyta; Magnoliopsida; Malpighiales; Euphorbiaceae.